Phyllostomus discolor (pale spear-nosed bat) is the source of this 146-nucleotide small nucleolar RNA. RefSeq annotates it as small nucleolar RNA SNORA67. NCBI's taxonomy places the organism in Eukaryota, Metazoa, Chordata, Mammalia, Chiroptera, Phyllostomidae. The transcript has a single exon. The record is from RefSeq and is a predicted model, not a curated record.
AACCAAGGUGAUUCCCUCUCCAGGGGGCCCUAAUAGUGCCCCUCUUCAGGAAAGCAGCAACUUGGAAUAAAAUCUGGCAUGCCUCAGCUUUUCAGGGCAGAAGGUCAUGUGCAAUUUCCUUUGCCUUCCUUUGGCUGCCUACACGU